UUUCUCUCUCCCCUACUUUCCUUCUUUUCCUUCUAUUGUCUUUUUCUUCCUUCUCUCCAAAGAAAAAAAGAGACAAAUGAAUUGAUAAGAAGUGAUAAUGGUUAAUCUUUGAUAUUCUUUUCCUAUUUUGAAGAUGACAAAGGUGAUAAAAACUUUUGCAUGCUAGAUAACGGAAACUGAAGUCUUUUGAAAUUACAAAAUUCAUAGUUGAAAUUGUAAUGCCCUAUG
RNAcentral lists this unclassified non-coding RNA (228 nucleotides) under Hevea brasiliensis (rubber tree). The record is from RNAcentral. Lineage: Eukaryota; Viridiplantae; Streptophyta; Magnoliopsida; Malpighiales; Euphorbiaceae.